RNAcentral lists this ribosomal RNA (256 nucleotides) under uncultured bacterium. RNAcentral describes it as "partial 16S ribosomal RNA". It matches the Rfam family "Bacterial small subunit ribosomal RNA", at positions 524 to 776 of the family's 1533-position model. The record is from RNAcentral.
UACGUAGGGUGCAAGCGUUAAUCGGAAUUACUGGGCGUAAAGCGUGCGCAGGCGGUUUUGUAAGUCUGUCGUGAAAGCCCCGGGCUCAACCUGGGAAUUGCGAUGGAGACUGCAAGGCUUGAAUCUGGCAGAGGGGGGGUAGAAUUCCACGUGUAGCAGUGAAAUGCGUAGAGAUGUGGAGGAACACCGAUGGCGAAGGCAGCCCCCCUGGGUCAAGAUUGACGCUCAUGCACGAAAGCGUGGGGGAGCAAACAGG